CUUAACUAUAUAUUUACCACUCUAUUAUGAAGUCAUCUUCUAGUGUAUGUUUUGCACUGCAGCCAUCACCCCUGGAUUCUGGAUGCAGAAGGAACAUUGUGGACAAGGGAUGGGGAGGAAGUAGAAAUAUGGUUCCAGUCUGGGGCUGAGUUUCAUCUUCCAAUCCAGAUGGCUUUGUCAAACUUGUAUUUGUCCCUGGGGUAAAGGGCUUCAAUGCUGAGCAUCGAGCAUAAGGAGUUGGAGAAAGAGAUGUGGGUGAUUUACCUCUGCCAUAGAUAUCGGAUUGGCAAAAAUAAAUGAAUUUCAUCUGAAGAGAAUUAACACAAGCAUACACAUAUACACAGGAGUGCACAUAAAAAUUAAUCUUCAAGAGGAUAGAAACAGGGGAUGGUGUAGUUCCUGCCAUGAAGUACAGAUCAACUGGUACCAGAGAUUCAAAAUUGUGGAAUGGAUCAUGGGGAUUUCUCUCUUCCCUGUCAUAAAGAGUAAUUCAAUCAGGAAAACUGACAUGCAUUGUUGUAUUGUGGGUGCAACAGCUGAGAAGAUGAAAAAGACAUAGAGAAAGGGGAUAUUGGAAAUAAAAGGAUGUUAAAAUGAUAUAAUUUUUAAGAAGGUUGAGAAGGAAUAUGGGAUAUUUAUAUUCCUCUAAAUUUGAUAGAUAAUGAUGUCCACAAAGAAGAGUUUGCUGAAAUAAUUUUAAAUUUUGGUGAGCACAGACUAUCAAUGCCAAACGCAAUGGGUAAUUUUCUGUGUCAGCUUGGCUAGGCUGUGAUCUCCAAGUGUUUGUUCAAACAGCAAUCGUAGAUGUCCUUGUGAAGGUAUUUUUAGGUAAGAUUAACAUUUAAAUCAGUAGUCUUUGAGUAAAGCAGAUGACCUGCAAUAAUGUGAGUGGGUCUCAAAUUUGUUUUAAGUUGAAGGCCUUAAGAGAGAAAGAUUAAGGUCAUCCAUGAAAGAGGGAAUUCUGCUACCAGAUUGCAUUUGGACUCAAGCUGCAAUAUCAGCUCUUCCCUGGGUCUCCAACCUGACAGCCUGUCCUAUAGAUAAGAGCUUGCCAGUCCCCACAAUCACAUGACACAUGAGCCAGUCCUUUUUUUUUUAGCCAAUUCUUUAAAAUUCUUCUCCUCUCUCUCUCUCUCUCUCCCCCGCCUCUCCCUCUCUCUCUCCCUUCUUUCUCUGUGUAUACACAUGCACGCGUGCACGCGCGCACACACACACACACACACACACACUCAUCCUAUUAGUUCCGUUUCUCUGGAGAACCCAGACUAAUGUACUUCCUCAGUAAUUGUUUUAGCAUUCUGGAUUCUGUUACUUUACUAUCAGCCUUAAAAUUGCAAAAAGAAGAAGGAAAGUUUUAUCAACCAUUUCAGACACUAAGUUUUCAGCCUUUUGGGAUCAAGGAAAAUACAAUCCAUAUGUUUUGGACUCACUUGCUAUUAUCCAGAACAUUAUAUCGGAGAUGGUUUAAAAUUUCUGGCUGGUUCAAUAUACGCAAAUCAAUAAAUGUAAUCCAGCAUAUAAACAGAACCAAAGACAAAAACCACAUGAUUAUCUCAAUAGAUGCAGA
Molecule: long non-coding RNA, 1567 nt
Filed under: Homo sapiens (human)
Lineage: Eukaryota; Metazoa; Chordata; Mammalia; Primates; Hominidae
Description: HSALNT0249426
Source: RNAcentral